This 1418-nucleotide ribosomal RNA is filed under the name Candidatus Omnitrophota bacterium. RNAcentral's name for it is "bacterial SSU rRNA". It matches the Rfam family "Bacterial small subunit ribosomal RNA". The record is from RNAcentral. Lineage: Bacteria; Pseudomonadati; Candidatus Omnitrophota.
UUAUCUGGAGGGUUUGAUCCUGGCUCAGGAUGAACGCUGGCGGCGUGCUUAACACAUGCAAGUCGAACGAGAAUCUUUCUGAAUGAAGCUUCGGCCGAGUUUAGAGAGAGGACAGUGGCAAACGGGUGAGUAUAACACAGAUAACCUCCCCUUUGGCGAGGGACAACCCACCGAAAGGUGGGCUAAUACCUCAUGGUAAUAAGUUCUUACGAAGAGAAUUUAUUUAAAGGCUUCGGCCACCAAAGGUUGGGUCUGUGACCUAUCAGCUUGUUGGUGAGGUAAUGGCUCACCAAGGCUAAGACGGGUAGCCGGGCUAAAAGGUUGGCCGGCCACACUGGAACUGCGACACGGUCCAGACUCCUACGGGAGGCAGCAGUGGGGAAUAUUGCACAAUGGAGGAAACUCUGAUGCAGCGACGCCGCGUGAAGGAUGAAGGCUUUCGAGUCGUAAACUUCUUUUAAGGAAAAGAAAGUCCGCCGCAAGGCGGAUUGAUCUAUCCUAGAAUAAGCAGUGGCUAAUUACGUGCCAGCAGCCGCGGUAAUACGUAAACUGCAAGCGUUAUCCGGAAUUAUUAGGCGUAAAGGGAGCGUAGGCGUUUUGUCAAGUUCCUGGUGAAAUCUUCGGGCUUAACCCGAAAAUUGCUAGGAAAACUGAUAGAAUUGAGUUAAAGAGGGGAGAGUGGAAUUCCUGGUGGAGCGGUGAAAUGUGUAGAUAUCAGGAAGAAUACCAAUGGCGAAGGCAACUCUCUGGCUUUAAACUGACGCUGAUUCUCGAAAGCGUGGGUAUCGAACGGGAUUAGAGACCCCGGUAGUCCACGCCCUAAACGAUGAAUACUAGAUAUCGGCGGUAACCAAUCCGUCGGUGUCACAGCUAACGCGUUAAGUAUUCCGCCUGGGGACUACGGCCGCAAGGCUAAAACUCAAAGGAAUUGACGGGGGCCCGCACAAGCGGUGGAGUAUGUGGUUUAAUUCGAUGCAACGCGAAGAACCUUACCUGGGUUGGAAACCCCUGGAAUCCUGCAGAGAUGCGGGAGUGCUCUUUUAGAGAAUCAGGUGUCCAGGUGCUGCAUGGUUGUCGUCAGCUCGUGUCGUGAGAUGUUGGGUUAAGUCCCGCAACGAGCGCAACCCCUGUUGUUAGUUGCCAGCGAUUCGGUCGGGCACUCUAACGAGACUGCCGGUGGUAAGCCGGAGGAAGGUGGGGAUGACGUCAAAUCCUCAUGGCCCUUAUGCCCAGGGCUACACACGUACUACAAUGGUCGGUACAAAGGGCUGCGACCCCGCGAGGGUGAGCCAAUCCCAAAAAGCCGACCUCAGUUCGGAUUGUAGUCUGCAACUCGACUACAUGAAGUUGGAAUCGCUAGUAAUCGCGGAUCAGCAUGCCGCGGUGAAUACGUUCCCGGGCCUUGUACACACCGCCCG